Sinocyclocheilus grahami is the source of this 221-nucleotide long non-coding RNA. RefSeq lists it as uncharacterized. Lineage: Eukaryota; Metazoa; Chordata; Actinopteri; Cypriniformes; Cyprinidae. The transcript has 3 exons. The record is from RefSeq and is a predicted model, not a curated record.
CGGGAACAGAGACGGGUUUAAUGGUUAUAAUAUUCAGAUAGCUUUGUUCAUCUCUUCGCUGCUAACUUCAGUCCUCAUGAUCAUCACAGCAAUGUGUUGUCCGUACAGAGCUUGUCAGCAGCAUGUGAGCGUCAGUGUCACACCUGACUCUGAACUGAAGACUGUGGUUCUGUAUUCAAUACUGAGUGAUCAUCAUCCAGUUUCAUACAGCAACUGUCACC